Molecule: ribosomal RNA, 497 nt
Filed under: uncultured bacterium
Lineage: Bacteria
Description: partial 16S ribosomal RNA
Rfam family: Bacterial small subunit ribosomal RNA
Source: RNAcentral
GAUGAACGCUGGCGGCGUGCCUAAUACAUGCAAGUCGAGCGAACAGACGAGGAGCUUGCUCCUCUAACGUUAGCGGCGGACGGGUGAGUAACACGUGGAUAACCUACCUAUAAGACUGGGAUAACUUCGGGAAACCGGAGCUAAUACCGGAUAAUAUAUUGAACCGCAUGGUUCAAUAGUGAAAGACGGUUUUGCUGUCACUUAUAGAUGGAUCCGCGCCGCAUUAGCUAGUUGGUAAGGUAACGGCUUACCAAGGCGACGAUGCGUAGCCGACCUGAGAGGGUGAUCGGCCACACUGGAACUGAGACACGGUCCAGACUCCUACGGGAGGCAGCAGUAGGGAAUCUUCCGCAAUGGGCGAAAGCCUGACGGAGCAACGCCGCGUGAGUGAUGAAGGUCUUCGGAUCGUAAAACUCUGUUAUUAGGGAAGAACAAAUGUGUAAGUAACUAUGCACGUCUUGACGGUACCUAAUCAGAAAGCCACGGCUAACUACAUG